RNAcentral lists this long non-coding RNA (4186 nucleotides) under Ornithorhynchus anatinus (platypus). RNAcentral describes it as "lncRNA (ENSOANG00000050719.1)". The record is from RNAcentral. Lineage: Eukaryota; Metazoa; Chordata; Mammalia; Monotremata; Ornithorhynchidae.
GUAUUAUAUAAUAUAUGCUAUAUAUAUUAUAUAAUAUGUAAGAUUAUUAUAGAACCAACGUUAUUAUUAUUAUUAUUAUUAAUCCCCAUUUUACAGAGGAGGUCACCGAGGCCCAGAGAAUAAUAAUAAUAACGUUGGUAUUUCUUAAGUGCUAUGUGCCAAGCACUAUUCUAAGCGCUGGGGGAGAUAGUUAGAACAGCGCUCGGCACAUAGUAAGCGCUUAACAAAUACCAACAUUAUUAUUAUUAUGAGCACGGUCCCUGUCUAGACUGCGAGCUCUUCGCGGGCAGAGAUCGUCUCUCUUUAUUGCUUGUAUUGUGCUUUCCCCAGUGCUUAGCAAGGUGCUGUGCACACAGUAAGCGCUCAAUAAAUACGACUAAAGGAAUGAACGUCCCCCAUGGGGCUCACAGUCUCAAUGAGCUCAGCGAGGCCCAGGGAAGGGAACUGAGUUGCCCAAGGUCACACGGCCAAGUGGCGAAGCAGGGUUUGGAACCCAGGGCCUUCUGAAUCCCGGAUUCUAACCACUAGUCCAUGCUGCUUCUCGGAGCCUUGGGCCCGGAGAUUUCGGGCCGGGGGCGGAGAGCGGGCGGAGGGCGACCCACCCCUGCGGGUCCAGAAGCUCUGAGAUGGGGGGCUUCCGUGCCGUUACAGGCGAUGAGGACCCCCGCAGAAUGGAGGAGCCUCAUCCUGCCGGUCCUGGCGGAGCUGUGGGCGGCGGCGGACUGCUUGACCACCCACUACCGGAGGACCGACAUCACCGUGCAGGAAGGAGCCCCGCUCACUCUCAGCUGCCCCGUGAACUAUGGCGGCGACCCACAGCAGAGGACGAGGGCCUUCUGGUGUAAGGGGAGCCACGGGGGCUGCUGCUCCGGAAAGGACACACUGGUGCAGUUGGAGAUGAAGGGGAAGUCCGACCCCGACGCUCGGGAGACACUGUGGUUCAACCUCACCGGCUCCAAGCCCUCCGACAGCGGCAUUUACCAGUGCUGUGUCGUUAACCAGAAGGCCAUCGUCUCCGGCCAUCAGAUCUCCGUGUCGGUGACAGAGGGAGGGAACGCGGUCGACCCCUCGCUGAACUCGACCAAGAACCGACUGGCCGGCGGAAGCCUCUCCAGCCGCGGCAAGGGGUCCCCGCCGUGGGUCUUCGUCCUUCGGUGGGCGGCCUGGGCGGUGGCGGUGGACGUACUGGUCGCCCUCUGCACAGGUCGCUGAGGACGACGGCACCGCGGGGGAGUUGGCCGUGACGUUCCGGGUCCUGCCGAAUCGCCACCGGGCCGGAUGGGGCCGCGGGAGGCGGGGGUGGGGAUGCGGGAGGGAGAACAGUGUGAUGGACGCCCGAGCGGAUGGCGCCGGGGGAGCCUCUGCUCCCCUGCAGCUGCAGAACUUUCUCCAUGUCAGCCUCUCUGGGGAGUUUUCGGUCCAUCGGGCUGCCCGCGGUGGGGGGUCUUUCUCCCCUCUGGACUCUAAGCUCGUUUUUUCAAAUGGCAUUUGGUCAGCGCUAACUAUGCGUCGGGCGCUGUACUAAGCGCCGCGUAGUUCUAAGAUUAUCAGGUUGGACCCAGUCCCCGUUCCCGCAUGGGGCUCGCAGACUGAAUCACCAUUUUACGGAUGAGGCGACUGAGUCCCCGAGACGUGAGGUGACUUGCCCGAGGUCACGCAGGUGACACGGUAUUUGUUAAGCGCUUACUAGGUGCCGAGCACUGUUCUAAGCGCUGGGGGAGAGACAGGGUCAUCAGGCGGUCCCACGUGAGGUCACAGUCUUCAUCCCCAUUUGGCAGAUGAGGGAACUGAGGCCCAGAGAAGUGAAGGGACUUGCCCACGGUCACACAGCUGACAAGUGGCAGAGUCGGGAUUCGAACCCAUGACCUCUGUCUCCCAAGCCCGGGCUCUUUCCACUGAGCCACGCUGCUUCUUUAAAUCUGAUUCGGGGAUUCAGCAGGGCCUAGUGGAAAGAGAGCAGUCCUGGGAGUCAGGAGACCUGGGUUCUAGUCUCAAGCCCGCCUCGGGCAUGCUGGGUGCGAAUUUGGCCAGGUCACUCGACCUCCCUGUCUCCCCCUAUUUAUAAUGGAAAUGCAGUAGAAGAGAAGCAAAGAGAGGUAAAAAGAGAAAAAAGAGAGAAGUUAAAAGAGAAGCAGCGUGGCUGAGUGGAAAGAGCCCGGGCUUGGGCGUCAGAGGUGGUGGGUUCUAAUCCUGGCUCCGCCACUUGUCUGCUGUGUGACCUUGGGCAAGUCACUUCACUUCUCUGGGCCUCAGUGACCUCAUCUGGAAAAUGGGGAUUCAAAAAUGUGAGCCCCACGUGGGACAACCUGAUGACCCGGUAUCCGCCCCAGCGCUUAGAACGGUGCUCAGCACAUAGUAAGCACUUAACAGAUACCAUCAUUAUUAUUAUUAUUAAGUCCUUGCUCUCCCUCACUUUGAGACCGGCCGUGAGCCCCAUGAGGGACGGACAUUUUCCAAGAAGCAGCAGCAGCACGGCCUCGUGGACAGACGCGGGUUCUAAUCCUGCCUCGGCCACUUGUCUGCUGGGUGACCUUGGGCGCGUCAUUUCACUUCUCUGGGUCUCAGAGAAGUGUAAAAUGGGAUUAAGACUGUGAGCCCCACGGGGAACAUGGACUGCAUCCAACCUGAUUAAAUAUAUCUGGCUCAGCGCUUAGCGCGGUGCCUGACACGUAGCUUAGCAAACGCCAUUAAAAAAAAAAUCGAUUAUCCUUCAUCUACCCCAGCUUAGCUUAGCACGGUGCUUGUCAUGUGGAAAGCACUUAAUAAAUACCUUUGUUUUGUUGCUUUAUUACUAUUAUCUCUUUUCUUAUGCCAAUGGAGUGCCCGCCUCGGCCCAGCCUCCGUAAGCAGGCGGGAGUCAGGCUCAGGAAGGUGACUGUUUCCCCCUUGGUUUGGAGGGUCCAAGUCACUGGAGGCUGAUGGUGGCGAUUAGUGUGGAAGCUUCCCGUGGGCCUGGAUCGUGUCUUUUGUUUUUGUUGUACUUUCCCGAGCGCUCAGUACAGUGCCCGCGCCCGGGAGGUGCUCGCUACAACUCCCCGAGCUCCGUAAGUCCCCUGCCCGGCCUCUACUCGUGGUAAGGGCUCAGGGCCGGUCUCUGCCGAGAACUGGUGUUCAAUACAGUACCUUUCAUGCACAGUAAGCGCCCAGGGCAGGUCUCUGCAUAGAGCAGGUGUUCAGUACAGUAUCUUUCAGGCACAGUAAGCGCCCAGGGCGGGUCUCUGCAUAGAGCGGGUGUUCAGUACAGUACCUUUCACGCACAGUAAGCGCCCAGGGCCGGUCUCCGCAUAGAACGGGUGUUCAAUACAGUACCUUUCAGGCAGAGUAAGCGCCCAGGGCCGGUCUCUGCAUAGAGAGGGCGUUCAGUACAGUACCUUUCAUGCACAGUAAGCGCCCAGGGCCGGUCUCUGCAGAGAGCGGAUGUUCAGUACAGUUCCUUUCAUGUACAGUAAGCGCCCAGGGCGGGUCUCUGCAUAGAACAGGUGUUCAGUACAGUACCUAUCGCGCACAGUAAGCGCCCAGGGCCGGUCUCUGCAGAGAGCAGGUAUUCAGUACAGUAUCUUUCAUGCUCUAGACUCUCAGUAGAGCGCUACACACUCGGUGUCCAUAAUUUCCUCCAAAAAGUAAUAAAAUGAGUCAAACCUCGGCGGCUCGAUCGAAACCACUGAUAGGAUGCAGAAGAGAAUGGGAGCAGCGUGGCAUAGUUGAUUGGGCCUGGGAGUCAGGAGGUCGUGGGUUCUAAUCCCGCCCCCGUCCCUUGUCUGCUGUGUGACCCUGGGCCAGUCACUUCACUUCUCUGGGCCUCAGUGACCUCAUCUGCAAAAUGGGGAUGGAGAUUGCGGGACAGGGGCGGCGUCCAACCCCAUUUGCUUGUACCCACCCCAGCGCUCAGUAGAGUGUCCGGCACAUGGUAAGCGCGUGACAAGUACCACGAUCACUAUCAUUUUAUUACUCUUGUUGUUGUUGUUAAGCAUGAGAAGCAGCGUGGCUCAGCGGAAAGAGCCCGGGCUGGGGAGUCAGAGGUCACGGGUUCGAAUCCCGGCUCCGCCACUUGUCAGCUGGGUGACCUUGGGCAAGUCACUUCGUUUCUCUGGGCCUCAGUGACCUCAUCUGCAAAAUGGGGAUGAAGCCUGUGAGCCUCACGGGGGACCACCUGAUUGCCCUGCAAAAUGGGGAUGAAGCCUGUGAG